UGGAAGUCUGACUAGACAGACAGAAAACACUCUGGCCUUGUGAAAAAUGGGAAACCAUCCAUCGAUUCAUUCAUUCCUGCAACAGACAGCUAGAAAUCUGGGCCGACUAAUGCAAGCUGCCCCCUGGAAUGUCUGGGGCAGCCUCACAAGGUUACAUUCCAGGCUCCAAGCGAAAAUGCCAGCAAUUUUCCUUUUGUCAACAGCAAAUUAAAGUAAUUUCCACGCAGAGGGUUUCUCCUGCUGGCGCAAUAUAGGCAGGACGGGAAGAGGUGACUCCUGUGGCUCCCUCCUGGUCACUAUCUCCAUCACAAACAAGUCUGCAAGCAAAGAAAUCCAAGCAGAACAACCGCGGAGGCAGAAAAGAACCCCUGCUGGGUGUUUGGCUUCACAAAGCCUGAGCACACCUGGAGGAGGUAUGACGUCCCCCCAGGGAAGCUCCCAGGAGUCAGCUCACCAUCCCCCACGGCCUCAGAGGAGAGGAGUUGGGAACAGGCAAAGCCACCAGCUGUGGGAAGGAACCAGGCAUAAUAAACCCAAUAAACGGCAUCCAAGAGUAAGGGACUGGGGAGGAGUUCUUAAAAAUUACAGGAGUAACACAUGCUUACUAUAAAACACUGAAGUAUUACAGAGAAAUAUGGAAGCAAAAUUCCAUCCUCUUGUCCCGCCAUCAAUGUAAAAUUGAUUUUUUUAGAGCUAUAUAUGUGCAAAACACUCAUGAGGUGUUUAUAUAUAAUAACAAAAGGGCAGUUAUUUGUUUUAUCCUGUAGAUUACUUGCUCUUUUUCUUCACUCAGUAAUAUAUUAAUGGGUAUGUUUUCAUAUCAGGAUACUUAAUAUCUGUAGUUUAAGAAAUACUUAACAAAACUUCUUUCCAUUAGUUUUUUCCUGAUUCUAAAAGCAGUGCACAUCUAAGUUAGGAAAGCCAAAUCUCUGUUUGACCAUGUGGGAUCCGUGUUCAUAAAGGGCCAAAUGCCCUCUCAUGGCUGAGAGGUCCCCCUCGCAGGGAACAGAUUAGUCAUGGCAUGAAGAACAGUCCAGCAGAGCCAGAAUGGUGGCCUACACCACUAGUGACAGCUUCUCAGAAGGCAGAGACAAGAGGAUUGCAAGCAUGAGGCCAGCCUGGGGACGGGCCAUAGCUCAAUGGCAGAGCACCCACGUCUCCAUUCACUCCUGGGCUUUGUCUCUCUCACACAUGCCCGUUUGCCUUUGUGCUUUCCUCAAUAAUCUGAAGCAGCAUGAGGCCAUCUCCAGAAGCAGAAAAGAUUCAGUGCCAUGUUUUGAGA
Long non-coding RNA from Cavia porcellus (domestic guinea pig), 1282 nucleotides. RefSeq lists it as uncharacterized. The record is from RefSeq and is a predicted model, not a curated record. Lineage: Eukaryota; Metazoa; Chordata; Mammalia; Rodentia; Caviidae. The transcript has 3 exons.